CUGGGCUCAAGUGAUCCUCGCAUCUCGGCCUCCCAAAGUUCUGGGAUUAUAGGCAUAAACCACCAUGCCUGCUCUAAUAGAACUUUCAAAUUAUAACUAAUAACAGCUGAUCUUUUAAUACUUAAAACACAUGUCUAGGAGAAAGUAGACUAUAUUAAAACAGCUUUUAAAAUUGUAUCAUGGAUAGAAGGCAAAUGAAAAAUUUUAAGCUAUUUUCACAUGUCGACAAAGGAUGAAAAUAAAAAAUUGCAAUUAAAUGGCCCUAUUGUUCCAAGUACCUUAACAUUAACCCAGCAUCUGACUGGCAUUCACAUUUGCAAGAUCCAAGGAUAUAGUUAUGUGAACAACAGCCCAGUCAAUACAUACAGGGAAAAGUUACUUCAGAUCUGAUUAGAUCUUUAGUAACCUUGAUCUUUCUAGAAGUAUAAACUUUAAUAAUGUGAGUUUGGGGAAGCUGUAUCAAGGCUAAACAUUCCAAUUAAAAUUCAUUAUGUGUUCUAACUCAGAAUCAAUCUUGUGUAAAAGUGUCAGAUAGUUGGACUUGUCAGUUUCAGGUAUUUACUUCAUUCAAAAAGGUAAAAAUGCCAUUUACCUAGGCUAGAAUUUUAUAUAAUCUCCAAUUUGGAUUAUACAGAUUCCCUAUAAUUACAAUAACACAUCCGACAAAAAUAUACAGACAUUUUGUGCAUAAAAAUGAAUAACUUUAAAUAAAGAAGUAAUUAAUUGGAGAUUAACCUGGGGAAAACUGCUGAGAGUCCAUAACAAUUAUAUUCUUCUCAGUUAUCAACAUAUUAUUCUAGAGUUAGGCACACUUAUUUCUUUAAACUCAUGAACACUGUAAAAAGAAAAAAAAAUUAAGUACUGAAAAAAAGAAAACCACAGAUAUACAUACACUAAUAUAAACACCACCACAAAAAUGCAAACAGAUUCAGAAUCCACACUGUUUCCUUGGAUUCCAAAACACACCAUUGGCCUUUACAUUGUCUGAAGGAUCUUGAGCUACAAUAUCUGCUAUGGAGUGUAACACAUCACUGUGAGAUUAUGAAACAUAUUUAUUUAUGUCUUAACAAAAAGAACACUGAGAACCAUCAUAAAUAACAAUCUAACUACAGUCCAAAUUCAAAGCUCACUUAUUUAUCCUCCACUGAUUUGAGAACUAAGAGAAGUUGGCCCUCCAGAUAUUAGUAGCUGAUUUGGAGAUAUUCAAAGGAUUGUUUUGCUUCAGUCAAUUUUUGUUUCAGAACUGUGGUUUUAACUUUACAUUCACUUUCAUUACAGAAAUUUGCUUCCUUAAACACGCACCGGUUUGAGCCCAGGUCAGCAGAUGACAAGGCUGCCUGAACUGCUAAAGCAGCAAUCUGUGUCCAAUCUGAGACUGCCUCCCUAUAAAGCCUACCUGCCCUGACCUACCCUCCUGGAAUGAAGUCCCAUGUAACCCCAGGAUGACUCUUCUAUGCUUUUACGAAUAAGAGAAAGUGACCUCUUCCAAAAUUAGACAACCCACACUCUCAAGCAAGCAAAAUCAAAAUCAGAAUCUAGGUAGCAAUCAAAACCACCAAUUGACUUGGUUGAAACUUCAGAGUCUUCUUUUGAAGACUUCUCAUUGAUUCCCUGAGGAUUUUUAGAGACGACAACUAAAGGAAAAACAUGGCAUGGGCAAGAUUUGUGUUUCAAGGGCAAUUCUACAUAACUUAAAACUAGGUGAACUGUUGUUUUCAAGACGAUUCAAAUGUGCCUCAUUUUUAAAACAUGUAGUAUUUAUUCUUCUGCGAAAAUAGUUAAUGCAAGCCCACGAUUUAAAAAAAAAACCAAAAGUCCUAAAAGGUAUGUGAAAGGUAAGGGUAAGUCUCCCUCCUCACCCUCUCAUUUGUCUCCCCAAUCCCCCUUCCCGGGACGACUACUGUUUCUCAGGAACCUUUCCCUAGCCAUUCUAUGCAAAUGCAAACAUAAGCGAGUGUUUUAAACCAAUUAUGCCACAUUAUACACACCGUGGCAGCACCAAAAUUGCUAUUAAACGCCUCCGGGCGUAAAGGUGGCAAUCUGCUGAGGGGUGUGGGGUGGGAAGAAGGAGACUAUCUUGAUGCAGCGGUUUUGCUCGUCAGGCAACCGAUUUCUACUUCUUGUUUUUGUUUGCAUGCCUUUACAAGGCUCUCGGAGAUCGGAGAUCGAAGAGAAGGUAAAUCCACCAAAGCCACCCCCUGGCACUGCCACGAUAGCCACCCUGCUCUGCACGUUUCUGUCUCAAUCUAUGAAGUAUGUUCUAUACUUUCAUGGAGUUAAAUCGACUCACUUUCAAAAAAGAAAACAAAACAAAACAAACAACAACAAAAAAACGCCUAACUCUGAAGGUAACUUUCAGAGUCUGAAGGUAACUUUCAGAGCCAGGUGAUUUCCGAACCAGGUGAUUUCCUCCCCGCCAAACGUGCAGCCUCUGCAGCCUGCUUCAGUCGUGUCCUUAGGAAAGGUUCAGCCUGGCACGGAGUUGGAGGGGCGAGCCAAGAGCAGAGAAGCCCCAAGACGAGAGACCGAGUUCUUCUGUAUACAAGGAGAAAGUAUUCUCUCUCAAACAGUAAACUCCCUUUUAUCACAGAGCAGGCUCCAGGCUCAAAGCCCUAGAUGGAGAUAAAGUAUUUUGAGGAGGGAGGAGAGUGUAUUUCUUCAUUUACACAAAGAUACUCAUAUGGAGCUGGGGGCAGUUCUUCCCCAAAAGGAAACAUUGAACUCAAAGUUCCAUGUAAGCAAGGACUGUGGCUGUCAUGUCUACCAUUGUAUAUCCCAGCACCUAGCACUGGACCUAGUAUAAAUUUUGUGCUAAAUUAAUAUUUAUUGACUGCAUGGAUGAACUCUCUAUUUUAUUUAUGGUUCUUCCAAUUUAUUGCUAUCUGUUUUCCAUUACUUGCCUUCUCUUACCCUGAAAUUAUGCAUCUGGAAUGAAGUAUUUUAAUAAAAUUAUUGAUGAACAUAAUGGAAA
Molecule: long non-coding RNA, 2971 nt
Filed under: Homo sapiens (human)
Lineage: Eukaryota; Metazoa; Chordata; Mammalia; Primates; Hominidae
Description: HSALNT0358056
Source: RNAcentral